UGGGGAAUAUUGCACAAUGGGCGCAAGCCUGAUGCAGCCAUGCCGCGUGUAUGAAGAAGGCCUUCGGGUUGUAAAGUACUUUCAGCGAGGAGGAAGGCGUUAAGGUUAAUAACCUUGGCGAUUGACGUUACUCGCAGAAGAAGCACCGGCUAACUCCGUGCCAGCAGCCGCGGUAAUACGGAGGGUGCAAGCGUUAAUCGGAAUUACUGGGCGUAAAGCGCACGCAGGCGGUCUGUUAAGUCAGGUGUGAAAUCCCCGGGCUCAACCUGGGAACUGCAUUUGAAACUGGCAGGCUUGAGUCUUGUAGAGGGGGGUAGAAUUCCAGGUGUAGCGGUGAAAUGCGUAGAGAUCUGGAGGAAUACCGGUGGCGAAGGCGGCCCCCAUGGACAAAGACUGACGCUCAGGUGCGAAAGCGUGGGGCAGCAAACAGGAUUAGAUACCCUGGUAGUCCACGCUGUAAACGAUGUCGACUUGGAGGUUGUUCCCUUGAGGAGUGGCUUCCGGAGCUAACGCGUUAAGUCGACCGCCUGGGGAGUACGGCCGCAAGGUUAAAAC
This 555-nucleotide ribosomal RNA is filed under the name uncultured bacterium. RNAcentral describes it as "partial 16S ribosomal RNA". It matches the Rfam family "Bacterial small subunit ribosomal RNA", at positions 355 to 900 of the family's 1533-position model. The record is from RNAcentral.